This 269-nucleotide ribosomal RNA is filed under the name uncultured bacterium. Its description in RNAcentral is "partial 16S ribosomal RNA". It matches the Rfam family "Bacterial small subunit ribosomal RNA", at positions 793 to 1055 of the family's 1533-position model. The record is from RNAcentral.
GUCCACGCUGUAAACGAUGACGACUAGGUGUGGGGGGGUUCAGUCCCCUCCGUGCCGCAGCUAACGCAUUAAGUCGUCAGCCUGGGGAGUACGGCCGCAAGGUUGAAACUCAAAGGAAUUGACGGGGGCCCCGCACAAGCGGUGGAGCAUGUGGUUCAAUUCGAUGCAGAGCGAAGAACCUUACCUGGGCUUGACAUGCAGGAAGUAGAAACCGGAACGGCGACGACCUGUUAAGUCAGGAACCUGCACAGGUGGUGCAUGGCUGUCGU